RNAcentral lists this ribosomal RNA (460 nucleotides) under uncultured bacterium. Its description in RNAcentral is "partial 16S ribosomal RNA". It matches the Rfam family "Bacterial small subunit ribosomal RNA", at positions 338 to 795 of the family's 1533-position model. The record is from RNAcentral.
CCUACGGGGGGCAGCAGUGAGGAAUAUUGGUCAAUGGACGAGAGUCUGAACCAGCCAAGUAGCGUGAAGGAUGACUGCCCUAUGGGUUGUAAACUUCUUUUAUAUGGGAAUAAAAUGUUACACGUGUGGGAUUUUGUAUGUACCAUAUGAAUAAGGAUCGGCUAACUCCGUGCCAGCAGCCGCGGUAAUACGGAGGAUCCGAGCGUUAUCCGGAUUUAUUGGGUUUAAAGGGAGCGUAGGUGGAUUGUUAAGUCAGUUGUGAAAGUUUGCGGCUCAACCGUAAAAUUGCAGUUGAAACUGGCAGUCUUGAGUACAGUAGAGGUGGGCGGAAUUCGUGGUGUAGCGGUGAAAUGCUUAGAUAUCAUGAAGAACUCCGAUUGCGAAGGCAGUUCACUGGACUGCAACUGACACUGAGGCUCGAAAGUGUGGGUAUCAAACAGGAUUAGAUACCCGUGUAGUC